This 631-nucleotide small RNA is filed under the name Pan troglodytes (chimpanzee). RNAcentral's name for it is "retained intron". Lineage: Eukaryota; Metazoa; Chordata; Mammalia; Primates; Hominidae. The record is from RNAcentral.
CACCACGUCCGGCUAAUUUUUUUCUAUUUUUAGUAGAGACGGGGGUUUCACUGUUUUGGCCAGGCUGGUCUCGAGCUCCUGAUCUCGUGAUCCGCCCGCUUCGGCCUUCCAAAGUGCUGGGAUUACAAGCGUGAGCCACCGUGCCCGGCUCAUCCUGCUUUUGGUUUCAGGUCUCCAUGCCAGUGAAAUGUCACCUCAACUCCACCGUCCCUGGUGUCAGGCAAGCCCGAGGGACCCAAUUCUGCCUUUCUUCUGGAUUUUCCUAACCUGUUAAGAGUCUUGAAAGUCCUUAAACCACGGGAGACUACCUGGCACAUGACACGGGAUGAGACUUGGUGGGGGUCCCACGGGGGACAGGUCCUUCCAGCGGUUCCUCUGCACCCAGCGCUGCACGGGCCCGGGGCGCGGGUAAUCAGCCUCCCGAAAGCCACGCGAGUCACGGUCCUGCCUGCGAAGAACUCCCAGGGCGACCUUGGGGCUGAGGAGUGGGCCUGCUUCGGCCUUCUGCUCUUCUGUUGUGUGGUGACCCUCACCAGAGGACAGCUUCAUGCUCUUGGACUUCCCAGCCUCAAGAACUGUAAGAAAUAAAUUUCUUUAUAAGUUGCCCAGUCUGUGGUAUUUGGUUAUAGCA